This 1391-nucleotide ribosomal RNA is filed under the name Lactococcus lactis. Its description in RNAcentral is "bacterial SSU rRNA". It matches the Rfam family "Bacterial small subunit ribosomal RNA", at positions 53 to 1430 of the family's 1533-position model. Lineage: Bacteria; Bacillati; Bacillota; Bacilli; Lactobacillales; Streptococcaceae. The record is from RNAcentral.
ACUGCAGUUGAGCGCUGAAGGUUGGUACUUGUACCGACUGGAUGAGCAGCGAACGGGUGAGUAACGCGUGGGGAAUCUGCCUUUGAGCGGGGGACAACAUUUGGAAACGAAUGCUAAUACCGCAUAAAAACUUUAAACACAAGUUUUAAGUUUGAAAGAUGCAAUUGCAUCACUCAAAGAUGAUCCCGCGUUGUAUUAGCUAGUUGGUGAGGUAAAGGCUCACCAAGGCGAUGAUACAUAGCCGACCUGAGAGGGUGAUCGGCCACAUUGGGACUGAGACACGGCCCAAACUCCUACGGGAGGCAGCAGUAGGGAAUCUUCGGCAAUGGACGAAAGUCUGACCGAGCAACGCCGCGUGAGUGAAGAAGGUUUUCGGAUCGUAAAACUCUGUUGGUAGAGAAGAACGUUGGUGAGAGUGGAAAGCUCAUCAAGUGACGGUAACUACCCAGAAAGGGACGGCUAACUACGUGCCAGCAGCCGCGGUAAUACGUAGGUCCCGAGCGUUGUCCGGAUUUAUUGGGCGUAAAGCGAGCGCAGGUGGUUUAUUAAGUCUGGUGUAAAAGGCAGUGGCUCAACCAUUGUAUGCAUUGGAAACUGGUAGACUUGAGUGCAGGAGAGGAGAGUGGAAUUCCAUGUGUAGCGGUGAAAUGCGUAGAUAUAUGGAGGAACACCGGUGGCGAAAGCGGCUCUCUGGCCUGUAACUGACACUGAGGCUCGAAAGCGUGGGGAGCAAACAGGAUUAGAUACCCUGGUAGUCCACGCCGUAAACGAUGAGUGCUAGAUGUAGGGAGCUAUAAGUUCUCUGUAUCGCAGCUAACGCAAUAAGCACUCCGCCUGGGGAGUACGACCGCAAGGUUGAAACUCAAAGGAAUUGACGGGGGCCCGCACAAGCGGUGGAGCAUGUGGUUUAAUUCGAAGCAACGCGAAGAACCUUACCAGGUCUUGACAUACUCGUGCUAUUCCUAGAGAUAGGAAGUUCCUUCGGGACACGGGAUACAGGUGGUGCAUGGUUGUCGUCAGCUCGUGUCGUGAGAUGUUGGGGUUAAGUCCCGCAACGAGCGCAACCCCUAUUGUUAGUUGCCAUCAUUAAGUUGGGCACUCUAACGAGACUGCCGGUGAUAAACCGGAGGAAGGUGGGGAUGACGUCAAAUCAUCAUGCCCCUUAUGACCUGGGCUACACACGUGCUACAAUGGAUGGUACAACGAGUCGCGAGACAGUGAUGUUUAGCUAAUCUCUUAAAACCAUUCUCAGUUCGGAUUGUAGGCUGCAACUCGCCUACAUGAAGUCGGAAUCGCUAGUAAUCGCGGAUCAGCACGCCGCGGUGAAUACGUUCCCGGGCCUUGUACACACCGCCCGUCACACCACGGGAGUUGGGAGUACCCGAAGUAGG